Molecule: ribosomal RNA, 447 nt
Filed under: uncultured bacterium
Lineage: Bacteria
Description: partial 16S ribosomal RNA
Rfam family: Bacterial small subunit ribosomal RNA
Source: RNAcentral
AACGAACGCUGGCGGCAGGCUUAACACAUGCAAGUCGAACGCCCCGCAAGGGGAGUGGCAGACGGGUGAGUAACGCGUGGGAAUGUGCCCCAAGGUACGGAACAACACCGGGAAACUGGUGCUAAUACCGUAUGUGACCGAGAGGUGAAAGAUUUAUCGCCUUGGGAUCAGCCCGCGUUAGAUUAGCUAGUUGGUGAGGUAAUGGCUCACCAAGGCUACGAUCUAUAGCUGGUCUGAGAGGAUGAUCAGCCACACUGGGACUGAGACACGGCCCAGACUCCUACGGGAGGCAGCAGUGGGGAAUCUUGGACAAUGGGCGCCAGCCUGAUCCAGCCAUGCCGCGUGAAUGAUGAAGGCCUUAGGGUUGUAAAGUUCUUUCGUCGGGGACGAUAAUGACGGUACCCGAAGAAGAAGCCCCGGCUAACUUCGUGCCAGCAGCCGCCGUAA